GUACUCGCUUUGACAGCACAUAUGCUAAAAUUGGAACAAUGCAGAGAAGAUUAGCAUGGCCCCUGUGCAAGGAUAACAUGCAAAUUCAUGAAGCAUUCCAUAUAUUU
Small nuclear RNA from Hippopotamus amphibius kiboko, 107 nucleotides. Lineage: Eukaryota; Metazoa; Chordata; Mammalia; Artiodactyla; Hippopotamidae. The record is from RefSeq and is a predicted model, not a curated record.